UUUACCCUGGGGUGUGCGACAGCUCGCCUUUGGUGAUUGAUCCAACACAAUCACUAAGGGAGCAGAACUCCAGCCGUUUUUGAGCAAGCCCUCCUCGUUGAGGGAAGCCUUCCGAUGGCCGGGUACGCACCCACCUGCGAUAAGCGGGUUCAAUGCCCGGCGAGUACCGGCACCGUGGGGUAGAA
Molecule: non-coding RNA, 185 nt
Rfam family: 6S / SsrS RNA
About the family: E. coli 6S RNA was the first non coding RNA to be sequenced, but its function was unknown until recently. It consists of 184 nucleotides that fold into an extended hairpin structure with a large single-stranded internal bulge.